ACUAAAUAGAUACCCUGGUAGUCCACGCUGUAAACGAUGAGUGCUAGAUGCCGGAUUUUUUCGGUGUCGCAGCUAAACGCAUUAAGCACUCCACCUGGGAAGUACGAUCGCAAGGUUGAAACUCAAAGGAAUUGACGGGGGCCCGCACAAGCAGUGGAGCAUGUGGUUUAAUUCGAUGCAACGCGAAGAACCUUACCUAGGCUUGAAAAGCUUAUGACCGGCUGUGAAAGCAGCUUUCCCGCAAGGGCAUAAGUACAGGUGCUGCAUGGCUGUCGUCAGCUCGUGCCGUGAGGUGUUGGGUUAAGUCCCGCAACGAGCGCAACCCUUACCAUUAGUUGCCACCGGAGCAAUCCGAGCACUCUAAUGGAACUGCCUACGCAAGUAGUGAGGAAGGUGAGGAUGACGUCAAGUCCGCAUGGCCCUUACGCCUAGGGCUACACACGUGCUACAAUGGCCGCCACAACGGGCAGCAAAAUCGCGAGAUGGAGCGAAUCCCUAAAAACGCGGCCUCAGUUCGGAUU
RNAcentral lists this ribosomal RNA (521 nucleotides) under uncultured bacterium. RNAcentral describes it as "bacterial SSU rRNA". It matches the Rfam family "Bacterial small subunit ribosomal RNA", at positions 772 to 1299 of the family's 1533-position model. The record is from RNAcentral.